This 397-nucleotide ribosomal RNA is filed under the name uncultured bacterium. RNAcentral describes it as "bacterial SSU rRNA". It matches the Rfam family "Bacterial small subunit ribosomal RNA", at positions 29 to 429 of the family's 1533-position model. The record is from RNAcentral.
AUUGAACGCUGGCGGAAUGCUUUACACAUGCAAGUCGAGCGGCAGCGCGGGGGCAACCCUGGCGGCGAGCGGCGAACGGGUGAGUAACAUAUCGGAACGUACCCAGUCGUGGGGGAUAACUAUCCGAAAGGAUAGCUAAUACCGCAUACGUCCUGAGGGAGAAAGCGGGGGAUCGCAAGACCUCGCGCGAUUGGAGCGGCCGAUAUCGGAUUAGCUAGUUGGUGGGGUAAAGGCUCACCAAGGCGACGGUCCGUAGCGGGUCUGAGAGGACGACCCGCCACACUGGAACUGAGACACGGUCCAGACUCCUACGGGAGGCAGCAGUGGGGAAUUUUGGACAAUGGGGGCAACCCUGAUCCAGCCAUUCCGCGUGUGUGAAGAAGGCCUCGGUUGUAAG